AGCAAUCGACAUAUGUAAGAAGUACAUUGGUUUGGUCUGGAAAGGCGGGACAACUAGAAGCAAAGGCUGGAAGACUCUUCCAGGUCACAGAUAGGUGAUACACAAAUGGUUACAUUCUUUUGAGUUUCUGAUUAGCCUUUCCAAAGUAGGCAAAUCAGAUAUGCAUCUAUCUCAGUGAGCAGAGGAGUGACUUUGAAUAGAAUGGGAGGCAGGUUUGCCCUAAGCAGUUUCCAGCUUGAGUUUUCCUCAGUGAUUCUGGGGGCCCAAGAUAUUUUCCUUUCACAAGCCAGCAGGGAAUGAGCUGUUCUGAGUUGAACAGAACGGGAAACUGCACUUUUGACUCUGAAUGUAUUUCAAUGGAGCAGCCUCUGCUGAAAGCCGGGCUCAGACACUGAACAGCCGCUUCAGGGAGAUGCAAUGGUUGCAACUUGUGAACCGUGCUUUCCUUCCACAUCUUAGGUGUACGGAGUUUGUAUAAAAUAUGAACUCUAAUGUGUAGAAUUUGCAGGUCGCUGAAGUGUCACAGUCUGCUGAAAUGGGUCUGGAAUCAAUAAGGUACACAUCAAACUCAAUUGUAUUUAAUUUUCAUUGCUACCUAGAGGAAAGCCUUGCAUGGCCCUACACGCCCACUCUGGGCACUUCCAGCCGACACUGACCUUUCAGUCAUGGAAACAUUCCCCAGACUGACACUAAUCGGGGGCACAUCUGGCGUUUGGACUGCAUCCAGAUGGGGGUUUGUGUUAGUCGAGUCAGCAUGAUAACCCGCUGGGGAGGGAGGGAGGGAGGGGAGAGGACACAGCAGCUGAGAGCAAUCCCCAUCCUUGGCUGCGUGAGGGAGAGGUGGUCAUGCUGCGGCCAGUGAGUCAUAGACUAGAGACCACCUAAUUCCUGUCCACCCCUGCUCUCCCUGCUCCCUCCAACAGAGGACAAACUGGAUCCACCCAGAGAGCCAACUCGCCAGAGUUCCACAACUGGUCAGCAGCAGACUACAAUCUCAGUGUCCCGGCUCCCAUUCUAUCGCACUGCCCACUUUCUACACUCUCUCAAAGUGUAGUGUGUUAUUUCAGGAUAAAAUAUGUGCCAAGGUGAUGAAAAGAAUCCAGCUGUUUCUUCUCUUUCACUUCCUGUGAUUUGUAAAAGCAUAAGACGAUUUUCCAAGACAGUGACAAACCACCAUCGCUCACACCCAUUCCACCCACCCCAAUUCUUUCAUCGUAGCUUCUUUUCUGGAUUUGGAAGAAGAGACCGCCCUUUGUGACUGGUUCAUGGACUUUGUCAGAAAUCAACACAAUGUCUUAUUCUCCCAUCCCUAGAACAAGCGACUGCAAUUGGGAAUAAGACUUCAUAGUAUAGAAGUUCCAGCCAUACAGGUCAGGAAUGACAAAGUGUCUUGGCCAGCUCUCAGCCUCUGCCUUUACAAAGUCUGACACCUGUUGCAGUCACGAAUUGCACUGCUAAAGAGGUAAUCAAGCAAACCAAAGCCAGGAUAAAAGGGAUUAUGUCUCCACUCACCCACACAGAAGGCUGUCUCCAACUGCAGAAGGAAGUUCUUUCCAUGGCCGCUGGAGCACCCUCCCCACUUGUGGGCACCAUGGUUCAAGUCUGCCCCAGUGAUCCUCUCCUGUAUAAACCUCCAGGUACAGAUUAUGGAAAUCAGGAAUCUCAUCCAGCUGCUCAAAUAACAAAGAGGUUAGCAGUAUCUUCUAGUAUGAAUAAUUGUAACUGCAGAGAUCUGUUCAGCCUUUAUCCUUUCUUAAAAACCUAAAGAGAAACAAGGAAGCAACCCAGGUAAAAGCAAGACAAUGGUCAAUGGUCAGCUUCCCAAGGCAGGUUUCAGCUUCCACAUUAACUAAUCAGCUUGCAGAGCUUGCAGCACCUUCUACAUCCAGCCUCCAUACAAAGGACAACUAUCAUCCACCAACCAAUUUAGUCCUCUUCUGGAAGAAUCAGAAAGAAAAAAUGUCUUCACUCCACUUCUCCUACCCUCCUCAAGAUCACCUCCCUCCCCAAAGCCCUCGCUUCUGUGGUCCUCUCUAAGAAAUAUGCUUUAUCCACUCCGACGGGCACAACAGUAGUAACUGAGACAGGAGAAUGACCCUCUUCCUUGCUUUAGGGAAGUUAUCAGUUCCACCCUCCUUGGGAAGCUCUGUGAUCUCUGAGAAGAAGCUCACAGACACCAUCACUCUACCUAAGCCAGUUAGGGUCUCUGCUCGUGCCAGCCCCUUUUUUCCCCACCAAUGAGUUGGUACAAAGCCAUUUCAUGUUCCAUGCCAAACCAGUAAUUCGCAAUACUCAUCAAAAUCUGCCUCCGUCCACUGACUCAGCACUCCUGCUUUCCUAGCAUAGCCAACCUCCCUAACACCCUGACAUCCCGGCCUUCAGUUUCACUAUUUACAUCACAUGAGAGAUUUGGGUUUCGAAAGCCAAUUCCCUCUGAAGAGAGUAUGCAGAUGAUUCAUCUUCUCUGAAAAAACUACCCAUUUUUGCCUUGAUAUCCAUGCCAAAAAUCUCCUGAGAUGGGGCUCAGAGAGGACAGAGUGGGGGAGUCCUGUUACAAUAGGAGACCACUGUCUCAGUUUCCAAAUGAAAAAGAUGACACACUGUUCUUGGGACACUGCUUUGCCAGGGUGUCCUGCAGAAACCAAGGAAGCUUCCAUCUCAGAGCCACUGUGGACACAGCCUUGGAUCACCGUGGAGCCUCAGACCACACUGACUCCUCCCUGUCUCCGCGUCUAACCCCCUCUCACACUGAGAGAUCUGACCCACCACAGACAUCCCCUCUGGCCUCCUGAGUGGUUUCUUCAGCACAGCUUCCAGAGCCAAAUUAAACGUUCACUCUAUGUCUAUAGACAAAAAGGGUUUUGACUAAACUCUGUGUUUUAGAGAGGGAGUUAAAUGCUGUUAACUUUUUAGGGGUGGGCGAGAGGGAUGACAAAUAACAACUUGUCUGAAUGGCAACUCUGCCUGCUGAAAUCCCAAGAGCUGGCUCUUGCAGCAGCCUCCUCUGAGGCUCCCUGCUCAGCUCCUGGGCCCUUAUCCUGCAGCUGGGUCUCUUCUGGAAGUGGGGGCACAUCAAGCGUCUGGGUGGUGCCAGUGCCUGGGCCUGAGCUAAAGUCUUCACCAGCCUGCCCCUUUUGGGGAAGCUUCUGACAAUUUCGAUUACCGAAAUCUUCCUGCCUUUUGGGAUAAUACAGUCAAAUGCUCCAUUGAGACAGACUUCUGUAUCUUUACAGGCCCUAGAAUGAGACCAACCCAAGGCCCAGCAUCUGCAGAAUGUCCCGUGUAGAACCAGGAAGGAAAAACUAAACCACUCCUUUUCCCCUCUUCCCAACACACCCUUCUCUCCUCUCAGAUCCUUGGAGUUCUCCGCACUCAGAACCUACAAGCUGCCCAGGGGUCUUCCAGACCAGCCCCAGUUGCUUCCAGCCUCCUUCCGCCAGCACAUCUCUGCAGCCUUGGGCCACCGAUCCUAAGCCAAAGCCUCCCCAACCUCUGGGCUCAGAAGCAGGUGUAAUCCCAACUCCAGCAGGGAAUUCCAGAGGUGAAGGUCACGGGAGCAUCUUUAAUCUUCGGUUCCCAGUAGAGAAGAUACCCAAAGAGCAGGGAGCAGGAGCCAGCUCCAGGCUAUACAUUUGUUUAUUCAUCAAUCAUUCAUUUAUGCAUUAAUCAUUCAUUCCCCCCACCCAUCAGUCAUUCAUCUGCUUAUUUAUUCAUUCAAUGUGUUUGUACCUUGUCCUUGCUUUGGUUAC
This 3749-nucleotide long non-coding RNA is filed under the name Homo sapiens (human). Its description in RNAcentral is "HSALNT0030649". The record is from RNAcentral. Lineage: Eukaryota; Metazoa; Chordata; Mammalia; Primates; Hominidae.